RNAcentral lists this long non-coding RNA (765 nucleotides) under Helianthus annuus (common sunflower). Its description in RNAcentral is "sRNA HanXRQr2_Chr14g0651271". The record is from RNAcentral. Lineage: Eukaryota; Viridiplantae; Streptophyta; Magnoliopsida; Asterales; Asteraceae.
GACACAAAGUGAUUCCAUCACCCACCGGAAGUUGACAAAUCUCGACUCUUGUAUCAGCAGCCAAAGCUUUGUUAAGCUCUAGUACGAAAUCUCUGUAAUACCUUACAUACUUUCUAAGUGGUGCAUCUGGUGGUGCCACCAAAGACCCGUUCCAAAGGGUGUUAUCGUACCCAAUCACUCCCCCAAUCUUGACAAGAUCAAUUAACCUUUUGUGGUAGUUAAGAUAGUUAUCUUUGUCAGCAUCCACAAAUAUAAAGUCAAAUGAUCCAUGGAAAUUUACAUCAUCCACCAUUUGGUCAAGAAGAGGAAGUGCAGGGCCUUCUCUAAAAUCAAUCUUGUGAGCAACACCGGCUUUCUCAAUAAUCGGAAGGCCAAUUUCGUAAUUUUCACGGUUUAUGUCCAAUGCCAAAAUCUUACCAUCCUCCGGGAGAGCAAGGGCAGUGGAAAGAAGAGAGUAACCCGUGUAAACACCGAUCUCCAUCGUGUUCUUAGCGUUAAUGAGUUUGAGUAGUAGAUUUAAAAACUGUCCUUCAUCCGCCGAUUUACGUACCAAGGGUGUUUGGCAGUGACCUCACGUAGCUCCUUCAUGGGUUGUGGCUCUCUUGGGUAGACACUGGUUUCAAGAAUGUAUUGGUAAAGUGCAUCGCUUUGAAGGAGACUCUUGUGGCCAACUUCUUGGUGUUUUGCAGGUUGAGUUUCUCCGAUGGCAGCCAUUGAAAUGAUUAUAUGUGUUUGUGUGUGUGAAAAGUGAAAUGAGGUAGGAUU